RNAcentral lists this ribosomal RNA (440 nucleotides) under uncultured bacterium. Its description in RNAcentral is "bacterial SSU rRNA". It matches the Rfam family "Bacterial small subunit ribosomal RNA", at positions 338 to 795 of the family's 1533-position model. The record is from RNAcentral.
CCUANGGGGGGCUGCAGUGGGGAAUAUUGCACAAUGGGGGAAACCCUGAUGCAGCGACGCCGCGUGGAGGAUGAAGGUCUUCGGGUUGUAAACUCCUUUUCUUGGGGAAGAUAAUGACGGUACCCAAGGAAUAAGCCACGGCUAACUCUGUGCCAGCAGCCGCGGUAAUACAGAGGGUGCGAGCGUUGUCCGGAAUCACUGGGCGUAAAGGGCGCGUAGGUGGCUUGCGAAGCGUGCGGUGAAAGCCCGGAGCUCAACUCCGGGUCGGCCGUGCGUACUGGCAGGCUUGAGCACGGUAGAGGCUAAUGGAAUUCCGGGUGUAGCGGUGGAAUGCGUAGAGAUCCGGAAGAACAUCGGUGGCGAAGGCGGUUAGCUGGGCCGUUGCUGACACUGAGGCGCGACAGCGUGGGGAGCAAACAGGAUUAGAUACCCCANUANUC